Molecule: long non-coding RNA, 566 nt
Filed under: Anser cygnoides (Swan goose)
Lineage: Eukaryota; Metazoa; Chordata; Aves; Anseriformes; Anatidae
Description: lncRNA (ENSACDG00005005118.1)
Source: RNAcentral
AGUGGGAACGCUGUGUGCAGGAAGGGUAUGAUGAGAUGUCGGCUGUCAAAUACUUGCUGCUGCUUUUGGGUUCUUCUUGAUCAGCCUAAGCCUGGAUUUUGAGCAGAUUUGGACCAGUAUUUCUAGGUCUAGUGUUUCCUUUAGAAGUAAGUUACUGCAGUGAUUUUUUAUUUCCCCUAAGACUCUUGCUGCUUUCUCCAUCAGUGUCAGAUAAGGUUGCUGCCCAUUCUUUUUGUCUCGCUUUCAGUAUCCUCGUGGCCACAGCUGUCUAUCCCCCUGGGACAGCAAGAAGAGCAAAGGCCCAUACAGGACGGCAUAGCCUUAUUACUGCCCUGCUGUUAUCGGAGCACAGGCUCCAUAACUACACGUGGAUGGAGGAGUGUUUGCCAGAAAGCAGGAAGCUGAAGAGAGGAAAUGUACAUGCUGAGAGGCAGCGUGUGAAGGUCUUCCAGGAACCAACAGACUCCAGUGCCUGGGGUCCUGCUGAACCCACAAGGACCGAUGAGUUAGGACAUGGUCAGACGGAUCUGCAUGAGGCACGCAUGCCAUCAACAAUGGUCAUAUAA